This 207-nucleotide ribosomal RNA is filed under the name uncultured bacterium. RNAcentral's name for it is "partial 16S ribosomal RNA". It matches the Rfam family "Bacterial small subunit ribosomal RNA", at positions 568 to 774 of the family's 1533-position model. The record is from RNAcentral.
CGUGUAGGCGGAGGAGCAAGUCAGAUGUGAAAUCCCGGGGCUUAACCCCGGAACUGCAUUUGAAACUGUUCCCCUUGAGUAUCGGAGAGGCAAGCGGAAUUCCUAGUGUAGAGGUGAAAUUCGUAGAUAUUCGCAAGAACACCAGUGGCGAAGGCGGCUCACUGGGCCAUUACUGACGCUGAGGCACGAAAGCGUGGGUAGCAAACA